This 205-nucleotide unclassified non-coding RNA is filed under the name Hevea brasiliensis (rubber tree). Lineage: Eukaryota; Viridiplantae; Streptophyta; Magnoliopsida; Malpighiales; Euphorbiaceae. The record is from RNAcentral.
AGAAAUGUUUGAGGCCUAAUAGCGUGAAGAGGCCUAUGAUGCAUGAUGUGUUGUGGGACUUGGAAUUUGCAUUGCGGCUUCAGCAAACUUCAAAGCACACAGAUAUAGAUGAUGACAGCAUGAACAGUGCACCUAUGGAACUGGCAUUUCAAAUUGUAGAUCACCUUCCAUCUCAUAGAGUACCAGCUGAAGAAGACGAUUCAUU